GGAAAGGCCAGAUUUCAAAGUGCAUUUAAAUCUAGUAAGAGUUUUUGACUCCGCUUCCUAAAAUGGACAGCUGCAGGUUUGGGGAGCAUGGGGGAUUAUAUGCUGACCAUGGAAACCAGAAUUAGAGGAUCAGGUCGGACAGACGCUAACCACUGAAGACACCUCUGGGGCCCAUGGGUCUGGAGACGGCAUGGGCAGAAUCCACAUGAACAAGUUCACCGCCGAGAAUUCCUCCGUCGUUGAUCUGCCUUCCUACAAGUUGCCACCCUCAGAAACAAAUUCCUUUGCCUUUGCCUUUUCCUUGCCAUAUCUCUAAAAAUGCAUCAUUGUUGAAGAUGCGCUCGAGGAGUACCCAUUCCUUGUGUGUCUGUCAUGAGUCUGCUCCAGCUCCCACUGAACCGAUUACCGUACCAGCAGAUGGAGGUCCCUUCCUAUUCUGAGGACAACUUCCUCAGGCUUCCAGGAGAGUCCCAGUUUCCAGUAUAUGUUUCCCAGACCUACAACGCCAGUCGCAG
Non-coding RNA from Oryctolagus cuniculus (rabbit), 515 nucleotides. The record is from RefSeq and is a predicted model, not a curated record. Lineage: Eukaryota; Metazoa; Chordata; Mammalia; Lagomorpha; Leporidae.